This 867-nucleotide ribosomal RNA is filed under the name Micromonospora sp. enrichment culture clone 11W_1. Its description in RNAcentral is "bacterial SSU rRNA". It matches the Rfam family "Bacterial small subunit ribosomal RNA", at positions 56 to 973 of the family's 1533-position model. The record is from RNAcentral. Lineage: Bacteria; Bacillati; Actinomycetota; Actinomycetes; Micromonosporales; Micromonosporaceae.
UGCAGUCGAGCGGAAAGGCCCUUCGGGGUACUCGAGCGGCGAACGGGUGAGUAACACGUGAGCAACCUGCCCCAGGCUUUGGGAUAACCCCGGGAAACCGGGGCUAAUACCGAAUAUGACCUUGCAUCGCAUGGUGUUUGGUGGAAAGUUUUUCGGCUUGGGAUGGGCUCGCGGCCUAUCAGCUUGUUGGUGGGGUGAUGGCCUACCAAGGCGACGACGGGUAGCCGGCCUGAGAGGGCGACCGGCCACACUGGGACUGAGACACGGCCCAGACUCCUACGGGAGGCAGCAGUGGGGAAUAUUGCACAAUGGGCGGAAGCCUGAUGCAGCGACGCCGCGUGAGGGAUGACGGCCUUCGGGUUGUAAACCUCUUUCAGCAGGGACGAAGCGUAAGUGACGGUACCUGCAGAAGAAGCGCCGGCCAACUACGUGCCAGCAGCCGCGGUAAGACGUAGGGCGCGAGCGUUGUCCGGAUUUAUUGGGCGUAAAGAGCUCGUAGGCGGCUUGUCGCGUCGACUGUGAAAACCCGCAGCUCAACUGCGGGCCUGCAGUCGAUACGGGCAGGCUAGAGUUCGGUAGGGGAGACUGGAAUUCCUGGUGUAGCGGUGAAAUGCGCAGAUAUCAGGAGGAACACCGGUGGCGAAGCGGGUCUCUGGGCCGAUACUGACGCUGAGGAGCGAAAGCGUGGGGAGCGAACGAUUAGAUACCCUGGUAGUCCACGCUGUAAACGUUGGGCGCUAGGUGUGGGGGGCCUCUCCUGUGCCGCAGCUAACGCAUUAAGCGCCCCGCCUGGGAGUAGCAAGGCUAAAACUGAACGGGGCCCACACGCGACAUGGGAUACAUGCAAAACCUCCUGGGUGAAACUAG